UUGUUCUUGCCAAUUCCUAUCCAGCCAUUAAACAGAGUGACUGGCUUUCCGUCACCCCACUCAGGACCUACUUCUAACUUAAAAGUCCCAACUUGCUGUCUCUUAAUACCAACUCCACAGUGGCCACCUUUGUGUCCUGUGAAUACAACUAUCUCUAGACAUGCGUGAGGCGCAUAAAAACACCCAGGUUCAAGUAAGGCUUUUAAAUCAGAUUCUUCGAGAUAAAAGCUGGAUGCAACAUUGUGAAUAUCCACGGUAGCUUCAGGUGAGGAAAUAAAGGGAACAGAUGAUGUCUGUACAGGGAAACCUCGAAGACGGAUCUCGCAUAAACAGGGAGAAGAGAGUGCACUUAUCCCUGAUUUUGUACCAUUUAAAGUUGUCCCAGAGAGUCUCAACCCCAACGACCCUAUUGACAGCCUGAUAAAAGCCUGAG
Molecule: unclassified non-coding RNA, 433 nt
Filed under: Hevea brasiliensis (rubber tree)
Lineage: Eukaryota; Viridiplantae; Streptophyta; Magnoliopsida; Malpighiales; Euphorbiaceae
Source: RNAcentral